UGGAGAGAGAAGAGUGUCAGGGAGAGGGAGACAGGUUGGUGGAGAGAGAAGAGUGUCAGGGAGAGGGAGACAGGUUGGUGGGGAGAGAAGAGUGGCAGGGAGAGGGAGACAGGUUGGUGGGGAGAGAAGAGUGUCAGGGAGAGGGAGACAGGUUGGUGGAGAGAGAAGAGUGUCAGGGAGAGGGAGACAGGUUGGUGGGGAGAGAAGAGUGGCAGGGAGAGGGAGACAGGUUGGUGGGGGGGAGAAGAGUGGCAGGGAGAGGGAGACAGGUUGGUGGGGGAGAGAAGAGUGGCAGGGAGACAGGUUGGUGGGGAAAGAAGAGUGGCAGGGAGAGGGAGACAGGUUGGUGGGGAGAGAAGAGUGGCAGGGAGAGGGAGACAGGUUGGUGGGGAGAGAAGAGUGGCAGGGAGAGGGAGACAGGUUGGUGGGGAAAGAAGAGUGGCAGGGAGAGGGAGAGGGAGACAGGUUGGUGGGGGAAGAAGAGUGGCAGGGAGACAGGUUGGUGGGGGAGAGAAGAGUGGCAGGGAGAGGGAGACAGGUUGGUGGGGAAAGAAGAGUGUCAGGGAGAGGGAGACAGGUUGGUGGGGAGAGAAGAGUGGCAGGGAGAGGGAGACAGGUUGGUGGGGAGAGAAGAGUGGCAGGGAGAGGGAGACAGGUUGGUGGAGAGAGAAGAGUGGCAGGGAGAGGGAGACAGGUUGGUGGGGGAAGAAGAGUGGCAGGGAGAGGGAGACAGGUUGGUGGGGGAGAGAAGAGUGGCAGGGAGAGGGAGACAGGUUGGUGGGGGAGAGAAGAGUGGCAGGGAGACAGGUUGGUGGGGAAAGAAGAGUGGCAGGGAGAGGGAGACAGGUUGGUGGGGAGAGAAGAGUGGCAGGGAGAGGGAGACAGGUUGGUGGGGAGAGAAGAGUGGCAGGGAGAGGGAGACAGGUUGGUGGGGAAAGAAGAGUGGCAGGGAGAGGGAGACAGGUUGGUGGGGGAAGAAGAGUGGCAGGGAGACAGGUUGGUGGGGGAGAGAAGAGUGGCAGGGAGAGGGAGACAGGUUGGUGGGGAAAGAAGAGAGGCAGGGAGAGGGAGACAGGUUGGUGGGGGAAGAAGAGAGGCAGGGAGAGGGAGACAGGUUGGUGGGGAAAGAAGAGAGGCAGGGAGAGGGAGACAGGUUGGUGGGGAAAAAAGAGAGGCAGGGAGAGGGAGACAGGUUGGUGGGGGAAGAAGAGUGUCAGGGAGAGGGAGACAGGUUGGUGGGGAGAGAAGAGUGUCAGGGAGAGGGAGACAGGUUGGUGGGGAGAGAAGAGUGUCAGGGAGAGGGAGACAGGUUGGUGGGGAGAGAAGAGAGGCAGGGAGAGGGAGACAGGUUGGUGGGGAGAGAAGAGUGGCAGGGAGAGGGAGAGGGAGACAGGUUGGUGGGGGAAGAAGAGUGGCAGGGAGAGGGAGACAGGUUGGUGGGGAGAGAAGAGUGUCAGGGAGAGGGAGACAGGUUGGUGGGGGGAAGAAGAGUGGCAGGGAGAGGGAGACAGGUUGGUGGGGGGAAGAAGAGUGUCAGGGAGAGGGAG
Molecule: long non-coding RNA, 1547 nt
Organism: Oncorhynchus tshawytscha (Chinook salmon)
Lineage: Eukaryota; Metazoa; Chordata; Actinopteri; Salmoniformes; Salmonidae
Source: Ensembl